CCUACGGGAGGCAGCAGUGGGGAAUAUUGCACAAUGGGGGAAACCCUGAUGCAGCGACGCCGCGUGAGUGAAGCAGUAAUUCGUUAUGUAAAGCUCUAUCAGCAGGGAAGAAAAUGACGGUACCUGAGUAAGAAGCCCCGGCUAACUACGUGCCAGCAGCCGCGGUAAGACGUAGGGGGCAAGCGUUAUCCGGAUUUACUGGGUGUAAAGGGAGCGUAGACGGCAGUGCAAGUCUGGAGUGAAAGGCGGGGGCUCAACCCCCGGACUGCUCUGGAAACUGUACGGCUGGAGUGCAGGAGAGGUAAGUGGAAGUCCUAGUGUAGCGGUGAAAUGCGUAGAUAUUAGGAGGAACACCAGUGGCGAAGGCGGCUUACUGGACUGUAACUGACGUUGAGGCUCGAAAGCGUGGGGAGCAAACAGGAUUAGAUACCCUUGUAGUC
RNAcentral lists this ribosomal RNA (440 nucleotides) under uncultured bacterium. RNAcentral describes it as "partial 16S ribosomal RNA". It matches the Rfam family "Bacterial small subunit ribosomal RNA", at positions 338 to 795 of the family's 1533-position model. The record is from RNAcentral.